AAAAAUACAAAACCUGGGUUUCCGUGUCCAAUUUUAAUUGUCCGUCUUAUAUAAAAAUUUUUUAUAAUUCGUAUUUUUAUUGUUGUUAGAUGAUAAAUAUUAAUAUUUUAUGCGUGACUUGUCUUUUUAAUUUUUUUUAUAAUUUUUUUAAAUAAAACGGACGGUCAAAUGUUGGACACGGAAACAGGGUUUGUCUUAUU
RNAcentral lists this microRNA precursor (200 nucleotides) under Oryza glumipatula. RNAcentral describes it as "MIR812 microRNA precursor family". It matches the Rfam family "MIR812 microRNA precursor family". The record is from Rfam by way of RNAcentral. Lineage: Eukaryota; Viridiplantae; Streptophyta; Magnoliopsida; Poales; Poaceae.